GAAAUGCGAUAAGUAAUGUGAAUUGCAGAAUUCAGUGAAUCAUCGAAUCUUUGAACGCACCUUGCGCUCCUUGGUAUUCCUUGGAGCAUGCCUGUUCGAGUAUCAUGAAAUCUUCAAAGUAAAUCUUUUGUUAACUCAAUUGGUUUCUACUUUGGUAUUGGAGGUCUUUGCAGCUUCACACCUGCUCCUCUUUGUUCAUUAGCUGGAUCUCAGUGUUAUGCUUGGUUCCACUCGGCGUGAUAAGUUAUCUAUCGCUGAGGACACUGUAAAAGGUGGCCAAGGUAAAUGCAGAUGAACCGCUUCUAAUAGUCCAUUGACUUGGACAAUACUUUUAUGAUCUGAUCUCAAAUCAGGUAGGACUACCCGCUGAACUUAAGC
RNAcentral lists this unclassified non-coding RNA (378 nucleotides) under plant metagenome. RNAcentral's name for it is "partial contains 5.8S ribosomal RNA, internal transcribed spacer 2, and large subunit ribosomal RNA". The stretch from base 1 to 105 matches the Rfam family "5.8S ribosomal RNA", at positions 50 to 154 of the family's 154-position model. The record is from RNAcentral.